UACAGAGACUGCAAGCGUUAUUCGGAUUCACUGGGCGUAAAGGGUGCGCAGGCGGCCGUGUGUGUGAGGCGUGAAAGCCCGGGGCUUAACCCCGGAAUUGCACCUCAAACUACAUGGCUAGAGCAUUGGAGAGGGAAGCAGAAUUCAUGGUGUAGCAGUGAAAUGCGUAGAUAUCAUGAGGAAUACCAGAGGCGAAGGCGGCUACCUGGACAAUUGCUGACGCUCAGGCACGAAAGCGUGGGGAGCAAACAGG
Molecule: ribosomal RNA, 253 nt
Filed under: uncultured bacterium
Lineage: Bacteria
Description: partial 16S ribosomal RNA
Rfam family: Bacterial small subunit ribosomal RNA
Source: RNAcentral